GACGAACGCUGGCGGCGUGCUUAACACAUGCAAGUCGAACGGAAAGGCCCUGCUAUUGUGGGGUGCUCGAGUGGCGAACGGGUGAGUAACACGUGAGUAACCUGCCCUUGACUUUGGGAUAACUUCAGGAAACUGGGGCUAAUACCGGAUAGGAGCUCCUGCUGCAUGGUGGGGGUUGGAAAGUUUCGGCGGUUGGGGAUGGACGCGCGGCUUAUCAGCUUGUUGGUGGGGUAGUGGCUUACCAAGGCUUUGACGGGUAGCCGGCAUGAGAGGGUGACCGGCCACAAUGCGACUGAGGUACGGCCCAGACGCCUACGGGAGACAGCAGUGGGGAAUAUUGCACAAUGGGCGGGAGCCUGAUGCGGCAGCGCCGCGUUCGGGAUGACGGCCUUCGGGUAGUAAACCGCUUUCGCCUGUUACGAAGCUUGAGUGACGGUAAUGGGUAAAGAAGCACCGGCUAACUACGUG
Molecule: ribosomal RNA, 468 nt
Filed under: uncultured bacterium
Lineage: Bacteria
Description: partial 16S ribosomal RNA
Rfam family: Bacterial small subunit ribosomal RNA
Source: RNAcentral